AGAGUUUGAUCAUGGCUCAGAUUGAACGCUGGCGGUAUGCCUUACACAUGCAAGUCGAACGGUAGAGGGGCAACCCUUGAGAGUGGCGAACGGGUGAGUAAUACAUCGGAACGUGCCCAGUCGUGGGGGAUAACGUAGCGAAAGCUACGCUAAUACCGCAUACGACCUGAGGGUGAAAGCGGGGGAUCGCAAGACCUCGCGCGAUUGGAGCGGCCGAUGGCAGAUUAGGUAGUUGGUGGGGUAAAGGCCUACCAAGCCUGCGAUCUGUAGCUGGUCUGAGAGGACGACCAGCCACACUGGGACUGAGACACGGCC
RNAcentral lists this ribosomal RNA (315 nucleotides) under Sphaerotilus natans. Its description in RNAcentral is "bacterial SSU rRNA". It matches the Rfam family "Bacterial small subunit ribosomal RNA", at positions 8 to 331 of the family's 1533-position model. The record is from RNAcentral. Lineage: Bacteria; Pseudomonadati; Pseudomonadota; Betaproteobacteria; Burkholderiales; Sphaerotilaceae.